CACCUUUCAGGACUGUACCUGGAGAAUUUUUAGUACUCUACCAGUCUCGGCUAUGGGAGGGAGAGUCAGGCAGAGACCUACCCAUUCCAUUCUUAGCUUGGGCAGUGGCUUGCUAGUGGAAAGCAAUCUGCUACAAGU
Molecule: small nucleolar RNA, 138 nt
Organism: Tachyglossus aculeatus (Australian echidna)
Lineage: Eukaryota; Metazoa; Chordata; Mammalia; Monotremata; Tachyglossidae
Source: RefSeq, a predicted model, not a curated record